Molecule: long non-coding RNA, 1871 nt
Organism: Xiphophorus maculatus (southern platyfish)
Lineage: Eukaryota; Metazoa; Chordata; Actinopteri; Cyprinodontiformes; Poeciliidae
Exons: 2
Source: RefSeq, a predicted model, not a curated record
UGUAAGAUUUUAAGGAGCUGGACAGUUUACUUUGUAAAAGUUCAAAGAACAAUAUUCAUAGUUAAAUAAUUUUGUUACCAUAGAAACAAUCUGAUGUUCUGAGUCUAAUCUUUGACAUUGAGUUCUGUUUGUUAACAAAUACAUCUUACUUAGCUACUGUUAUUACUUUUUAGAUUGGUCAAUUAAACUACCCCCUUCUCCCAGAAUUUACAAAAUCCAUUUUGAAAUGCUGUUAGAGGUGCUGAUGUUCUUAGCAGGAAGAGGGGCCCCUAAGUAAAAUUCUGCUCAAACCCUGCAUGAUGAGUAAAAUUUGCUGCCUUGUGCAGCGGGACAAAGAGGAGAUUUAAUUUAUGUGGUUUUAGUAGCUCUUCCAUUUCAUGUCUGUUAAGUUUUUAAUAAACGCCACAGAAACUGUUUUGGUUGCCUGAGCUUUACAGUAUGAGUUUUUCUGAUCUCGGCACGGCCUCUUAGUCAGUCAGCAUUAGUGGUUCAGCUGAACCGCUUUACCACUAAGGCACUGGCCAACUGGGACCACAUGCAUAAACUUUAUCAGCGCAGACACAGAGCCACACGCUGGGCAGUGACGUAAAUGCACAUGCCACACAUAAUUUUUUCUUUACAAAGAUAUAUCAUUCUCAUUGCACACCUCUGAAAGUACAGUAAUGGGUUAAAUCGUAGAGUUGUGCAAGCACAGCUCUAUGACCACAGCGUUGGGUUUUAAAUUCUUACCCUGGUGUAAAGUUCUCCAAAGAAACACGAUUCCUCACAGGGGAUUGAUGUCAAUAUCCAUACAGGUCAGCCUGUGUCCAGUUUGAGUGAAAGGGGGAAUGCAAUCUGUGCUGAGGUAAACUUAAGAGAGCAAGCAGCGACAGCCUGUGAGACAACGCGCAGAGGCAAAGCGCAGAAGCAAAGGGCCCAAGUAAAGCCUUUUUCUCAUGCAACUUUUCUGCACCACCCUUUCUUGAAAAACCAGUCAGCACUGUGGGCCGGGCUCCACCCUGUGGCUCUGUCAGACAUGGCAGAGUCACACCAAUAUAACAAUCUUUUUUUCCAUCAACAGAACUAUAUGAUUGGUUUGGUACAAAUUCAAAAGUGUUAAAUGUUUCAGUGUUAGUAGAUUUUUUUGCAAAAGCAGUAAAUUUCACUCUAAUCGAGCCGCAUUAUGUAACUAUGGGCUGUAUAUUAUUAGUAGUUAAAAUCGAGUGUUAAAACAAAGUGUUUCCGUAUCAAAUCUAGAAUUGUUAAAAUGGAAUCAAUAAAUCUUGACUUCUUAACUCUGAACUCCAGAAUCUCAGGUUCCCACCAAGCCAAGCAACAGAAUCCAAGUCAUUUCACAACAAUUUGCUUUGCACAUGUCUGAGUUGUUCACCACGCUUGAUAUUAAGAGCACUUUGGUUGAGGAUGAAUCUCCAGUCGUCAGCGUCAGUCCCUCUCGCACCCUCACCCUCCAUGGCGUCUUCCAAGAUUCAUGCUCCAAAAAUGGUUAAGUGUUAAUAUCUCUGAAACUCCACAUCGCUGUAAUUGAGGCUUGUUGUUAUAGUUAUAGUAAAAAUGCAUUCCUUUGUUCCAUUUUUCAUUCUUAUGUUUUUUGUUUGUUAUGAUCCAGAGACCAACACUGGCUGUAUUACUUGUCCAGUGCAGUCAGUACCUAUGAGCAGUUGGUGUUUUUGUCCCCGGCCAAGCUUCCAUUUCAAUUUCAUACAUGUUGUAUUGAAGAAAAAUGUAUUUAGCAUACUGUUUUUUGUUUUGCCCAGCUGAUAUAUCAGGCCUUUUGAUAAGCAAUAUGUGAAUGAAAGUGACAUGUGAAACAUGAACGUGUACAUUAUUCCACGUUGUUACAUGUUGUGAAAUAAAUGCAUCUCAGAAAAUCA